GGGUGUAUAGCCCAGUGGGAAAGUGCUUGCCUAGUAUGCAUGAGGCCCUGGGUUCGAUCCCCAGCACCACCA
Molecule: transfer RNA, 72 nt
Filed under: Ictidomys tridecemlineatus (thirteen-lined ground squirrel)
Lineage: Eukaryota; Metazoa; Chordata; Mammalia; Rodentia; Sciuridae
Description: Spermophilus tridecemlineatus (thirteen-lined ground squirrel) tRNA
Rfam family: tRNA
About the family: Transfer RNA (tRNA) molecules are approximately 80 nucleotides in length. Their secondary structure includes four short double-helical elements and three loops (D, anti-codon, and T loops). Further hydrogen bonds mediate the characteristic L-shaped molecular structure. tRNAs have two regions of fundamental functional importance: the anti-codon, which is responsible for specific mRNA codon recognition, and the 3' end, to which the tRNAs corresponding amino acid is attached (by aminoacyl-tRNA synthetases). tRNAs cope with the degeneracy of the genetic code in two manners: having more than one tRNA (with a specific anti-codon) for a particular amino acid; and 'wobble' base-pairing, i.e. permitting non-standard base-pairing at the 3rd anti-codon position.
Source: Rfam by way of RNAcentral